This 390-nucleotide ribosomal RNA is filed under the name Ochromonas tuberculata. RNAcentral's name for it is "partial small subunit ribosomal RNA". It matches the Rfam family "Eukaryotic small subunit ribosomal RNA", at positions 30 to 432 of the family's 1831-position model. The record is from RNAcentral. Lineage: Eukaryota; Chrysophyceae; Chromulinales; Chromulinaceae.
GCUUGUCUCAAAGAUUAAGCCAUGCAUGUGUAAGUAUGAAUUAAUUCAGACUGUGAAACUGCGAAUGGCUCAUUAAAUCAGUUAUAGUUUGUUUGAUGGUACCUGCUACUCGGAUAACCGUAGUAAUUCUAGAGCUAAUACAUGCAUCAAGCCCCGACUUCUGGAAGGGGUGUAUUUAUUAGAUGGAAACCAAUGCGGGGCAACCCGGUAUAUGGUGAUUCAUAAUAACUUUCGGAUCGAUUUAUCGAUGCAUCAUUCAAGUUUCUGCCCUAUCAGCUUUGGAUGGUAGGGUAUUGGCCUACCAUGGCUUUAACGGGUAACGGAGAAUUAGGGUUCGAUUCCGGAGAGGGAGCCUGAGAAAUGGCUACCACAUCCAAGGAAGGCAGCAGG